Molecule: ribosomal RNA, 497 nt
Filed under: uncultured bacterium
Lineage: Bacteria
Description: partial 16S ribosomal RNA
Rfam family: Bacterial small subunit ribosomal RNA
Source: RNAcentral
GAUGAACGCUGGCGGCGUGCCUAAUACAUGCAAGUCGAGCGAACAGACGAGGAGCUUGCUCCUUUGACGUUAGCGGCGGACGGGUGAGUACCACGUAGGUAACCUACCUAUAAGACUGGGAUAACUUCGGGAAACCGGAGCUAAUACCGGAUAAUAUUUCGAACCGCAUGGUUAGAUAGUGAAAGAUGGCUUUGCUAUCACUUAUAGAUGGACCUGCGCCGUAUUAGCUAGUUGGUAAGGUAACGGCUUACCAAGGCAACGAUACGUAGCCGACCUGAGAGGGUGAGCGGCCACACUGGAACUGAGACACGGUCCAGACUCCUACGGGAGGCAGCAGUAGGGAAUCUUCCGCAAUGGGCGAAAGCCUGACGGAGCAACGCCGCGUGAGUGAUGAAGGUCUUCGGAUCGUAAAACUCUGUUAUUAGGGAAGAACAAACGUGUAAGUAACUGUGCACGUCUUGACGGUACCUAAUCAGAAAGCCACGGCUAACUACGUG